Molecule: ribosomal RNA, 251 nt
Filed under: uncultured prokaryote
Description: partial 16S ribosomal RNA
Rfam family: Bacterial small subunit ribosomal RNA
Source: RNAcentral
UACGGAGGAUGCAAGCGUUAUCCGGAUUCAUUGGGUUUAAAGGGUGCGUAGGCGGACUAUUAAGUCAGUGGUGAAAGCCUGCAGCUUAACUGCAGAACUGCCAUUGAUACUGAUAGUCUUGAGUUUGGUUAAGGUAGGCGGAAUGUGUAAUGUAGCGGUGAAAUGCUUAGAUAUUACACAGAACACCAAUUGCGUAGGCAGCUUACUGAGCCGACACUGACGCUGAGGCACGAAAGUGUGGGGAUCAAACA